RNAcentral lists this ribosomal RNA (744 nucleotides) under uncultured bacterium. Its description in RNAcentral is "bacterial SSU rRNA". It matches the Rfam family "Bacterial small subunit ribosomal RNA", at positions 8 to 796 of the family's 1533-position model. The record is from RNAcentral.
AGAGUUUGAUCAUGGCUCAGAACGAACGCUGGCGGCAGGCUUAACACAUGCAAGUUGAACGAACGUAGCAAUACGUUAGUGGCGCACGGGUGAGUAACGCGUGGAUAUCUGCCUUUUGGUUCGGGAUAACCUUGGGAAACUAGGGCUAAUACCGAAUGGUUCCUACGGGAUAAAGAUUUAUCGCCAAAAGAUGAGUCCGCGUCCGAUUAGCUAGUUGGUGUGGUAAUGGCGCACCAAGGCGACGAUCGGUAGCUGGUCUGAGAGGACGAUCAGCCACACUGGGACUGAGACACGGCCCAGACUCCUACGGGAGGCAGCAGUGGGGAAUAUUGGACAAUGGGGGCAACCCUGAUCCAGCCAUGCCGCGUGAGUGAUGAAGGCCUUCGGGUUGUAAAGCUCUUUUGGCGGGGACGAUGAUGACGGUACCCGCAGAAUAAGCCCCGGCUAACUUCGUGCCAGCAGCCGCGGUAAGACGAAGGGGGCAAGCGUUGUUCGGAAUUACUGGGCGUAAAGCGAGUGUAGGUGGUUGUCGUAGUCAGGUGUGAAAGCCUUGAGCUCAACUCAAGAAAUGCACUUGAUACUGGGCAGCUAGAGGACCGGAGAGGAUAGUGGAAUUCCCAGUGUAGUGGUGAAAUACGUAGAGAUUGGGAAGAACACCAGUGGCGAAGGCGGCUAUCUGGACGGUUUCUGACACUAAGACUCGAAAGCGUGGGGAGCAAACAGGAUUAGAUACCCUAGUAGUCC